GACGAACGCUGGCGGCGCGCCUAACACAUGCAAGUCGAACGAGAAUCAGCUUGCUUCUCAUGCGAGUGGCGAACGGGUGAGUAACGCGUGAGGAACCUGCCUCAAAGAGGGGGACAACAGUUGGAAACGACUGCUAAUACCGCAUAAGCCCACAGCUCGGCAUCGAGCAGAGGGAAAAGGAGCAAUCCGCUUUGAGAUGGCCUCGCGUCCGAUUAGCUAGUUGGUGAGGUAAUGGCCCACCAAGGCGACGAUCGGUAGCCGGACUGAGAGGUUGAACGGCCACAUUGGGACUGAGACACGGCCCAGACUCCUACGGGAGGCAGCAGUGGGGAAUAUUGCACAAUGGGGGAAACCCUGAUGCAGCGACGCCGCGUGGAGGAAGAAGGUCUUCGGAUUGUAAACUCCUGUUGUUGAGGAAGAUAAUGACGGUACUCAACAAGGAAGUGACGGCUAACUACGUGCCAGCAGCCGCGGUAAAACGUAGGUCACAAGCGUUGUCCGGAAUUACUGGGUGUAAAGGGAGCGCAGGCGGGAAGACAAGUUGGAAGUGAAAUCUAUGGGCUCAACCCAUAAACUGCUUUCAAAACUGUUUUUCUUGAGUAGUGCAGAGGUAGGCGGAAUUCCCGGUGUAGCGGUGGAAUGCGUAGAUAUCGGGAGGAACACCAGUGGCGAAGGCGGCCUACUGGGCACCAACUGACGCUGAGGCUCGAAAGUGUGGGUAGCAAACAGGAUUAGAUACCCUGGUAGUCCACACCGUAAACGAUGAUUACUAGGUGUUGGAGGAUUGACCCCUUCAGUGCCGCAGUUAACACAAUAAGUAAUCCACCUGGGGAGUACGACCGCAAGGUUGAAACUCAAAGGAAUUGACGGGGGCCCGCACAAGCAGUGGAGUAUGUGGUUUAAUUCGACGCAACGCGAAGAACCUUACCAAGUCUUGACAUCCUGCGACGCACAUAGAAAUAUGUGUUUCCUUCGGGACGCAGAGACAGGUGGUGCAUGGUUGUCGUCAGCUCGUGUCGUGAGAUGUUGGGUUAAGUCCCGCAACGAGCGCAACCCUUACUGUCAGUUACUACGCAAGAGGACUCUGGCAGGACUGCCGUUGACAAAACGGAGGAAGGUGGGGAUGACGUCAAAUCAUCAUGCCCUUUAUGACUUGGGCUACACACGUACUACAAUGGCGUUAAACAAAGAGAAGCAAGACCGCGAGGUGGAGCAAAACUCAGAAACAACGUCCCAGUUCGGACUGCAGGCUGCAACUCGCCUGCACGAAGUCGGAAUUGCUAGUAAUCGUGGAUCAGCAUGCCACGGUGAAUACGUUCCCGGGCCU
This 1327-nucleotide ribosomal RNA is filed under the name uncultured bacterium. RNAcentral describes it as "bacterial SSU rRNA". It matches the Rfam family "Bacterial small subunit ribosomal RNA", at positions 28 to 1381 of the family's 1533-position model. The record is from RNAcentral.